AAUCCCAUUGACCCCAAAAUCCCCCUUUUUCAACCCAAAAUCCCCCUCAAAAAUCCCCAUUUCUGACCCCAAAAUCCCCCUUUUUCACCCCAAAUCUCCCCAUUCUUGACCCCAAAAUCCCCCAUUUUCACCCCAAAAUCCCAUUGACCCCAAAAUCCCACUUUUUGACCCCAAAACCCCCACCCAAAAUCCCCUUUUUCACCCCAAAUCCCAUUGACCCCAAAAUCGCCCUUUUUCAACCCAAAAUCCCCCUCAAAAAUCCCCAUUUCUGACCCCAAAUCCCCCUUUUCUGACCCCCAAAUCCCCUUUUUUCACCCCAAAAUCCCAUUGACCCCAAAAUGGCCCUUUUUCAACCCAAAAUCCCCAUUUCUGACCCCAAAAUCGCCCUUUUUCACCCCAAAUCUCCCCUUUUCUGACCCCAAAAUCUCCUUUUUCACCCCAAAAUCCCAUUGACCCCAAAAUCCCCCUUUUUGACCCCAAAAUCCCCCCACAAAAGCCUCUUUCUGACCCCAAAACCCCAUUGACCCCAAAUCCCCUUUUCUGACCCCAAAAUGGCCCUUUUUGACCCCAAAACCCCAUUGACCCCAAAAUCCCCCUUUUUCAACCCAAAAUCCCCCUCAAAAAUCCCCAUUUCUGACCCCAAAUCCCCCUUUUCUGACCCCAAAAUCCCCCUUUUUCACCCCAAAUCUCCCCAUUAUUGACCCCAAAAUCCCCCUUUUUCACCCCAAAAUCCCCAUUUCUGACCCCAAAAUCCCCCUUUUUCACCCCAAANNNNNNNNNNNNNNNNNNNNNNNNNCAGAAAUGAGUUGGGGUGCAGAAAUGGGGAGUGGUGUUGGUGAGGGGGAUUGUGGGUUGAAAAAGGGGGAUUUUGGGGGUCAAUGGGGUUUGGGGUGAAAAAGGGCGAUUUGGGUCAAGAAUGGGGAGUUGUUGGGGUGAAAAAAGGGGGAUUUGGGGUCAGAAAAAGGGAUUUUGGGUCAGAAAAUGGGGAUUGGGGUCAAAAGGGGAAUUUUGGGGUCAAUGGGUUGGGGUUGAAAAAGGGGAUUUUAGGUCAAUGGAUUUUGGGUGAAAAAGGGGGGAUUUUGGGGUCCAAACCAAGGGGAUUUUGGGGUCAGAAAUGGGGAUUUUUGAGGGUGAAUUUGGGUUUGAAAAAGGGGGGAUUUGGGGGUCAAUGGGAUUUUGGGGUGAAAAAGGGCUGUUUGGGGUGAAACGGGGAUUUGGGGUCUGGGUCAAAAAGGGGGAUUUUGGGUCCAAUGGGGUUUUGGUGAAAAAGGGAUUUGGGGUCAAUGGGAUUUUGGGGGUCAAUGGGAUUUUGGGUCAAAAAGGGGUUUUGGGGUCAGAAAUGGGAUUUUUGAGGGGGAUUUUUGGGUUGAAAAGGGGAUGUGGGGUCAUGGGAAUUUUGGGGUGAAAAGGGGGAUUUUGGGGUAAGAAUGGGGAGAUUUGGGUGAAAAGGGGGAAUUUUGGGGUCAAGAAAAAGGAUUUUGGGUGAAAAAGGGGGAUUUUGGGGUCACAUCCCCCCUAAUUAAUGAGUCUUAAUUAACUCCCCCUCAUUAAUUAUGCAUGGACUUAAUUAACAUAUGGCCCAAAUUAACGAGCCAGGCUCCAUGCAUGAUCCCAAUUAAUGCCCCUGUUAAUUAAUUACCCCCCAAUUAAUGCCCCCCUUAAUUAAUUACCCCCCUAAUUAGUGCCCCCCUUAAUUAAUUACCCCCCUAAUUAAUGCCCUCAUUAAUUAUCACCUUAUUUCUCCCCCCUCCUUGAUCUUAAUUAACUUUCCCCUUUUGCUGUCAAUUAAUUAACCGGUUAAUUAAUCAAUUAAUUAAUCUAUUGGCCCCGCUUGGCAUUAAUUAAUCCUCCCCACCCGCCGCUAAUUAUCCCGGCUGCGCUCUUAAUUAAUUAAUUGCCCCCCAUUGACCCCCAUUGACUCCCAUUGACUCCCAUUGAUCCCCAUUGAUCCCCAUUGAUUCCCAUUGAUCCCUAUUAAACCCCAUUGACCCCCAUUGACCCCCAUUGAUCUCCAUUGAACCCCAUUGAUCCCCAUUGAUCCCUAUUAAACCCCAUUGACCCCAUUGACCCCAUUGACCCCAUUGCCUCCAUUGACUCCCAUUGAUCCCCAUUGAUCCCCAUUGAUCCCUAUUAAACCCCAUUGACACCCAUUGAUCCCCAUUGAUCCCCAUUGACCCCCAUUGCCCCCCAUUGAUCCCCAUUGCCCCCCAUUGAUCCCCAUU
This 2222-nucleotide long non-coding RNA is filed under the name Coturnix japonica (Japanese quail). Its description in RNAcentral is "lncRNA (ENSCJPG00005002344.1)". Lineage: Eukaryota; Metazoa; Chordata; Aves; Galliformes; Phasianidae. The record is from RNAcentral.